Molecule: ribosomal RNA, 107 nt
Filed under: Colwellia psychrerythraea
Lineage: Bacteria; Pseudomonadati; Pseudomonadota; Gammaproteobacteria; Alteromonadales; Colwelliaceae
Description: partial 16S ribosomal RNA
Rfam family: Bacterial small subunit ribosomal RNA
Source: RNAcentral
UUUAAUUGAAGAGUUUGAUCAUGGCUCAGAUUGAACGCUGGCGGCAGGCUUAACACAUGCAAGUCGAGCGGUAACAUUUCUAGCUUGCUAGAAGAUGACGAGCGGCG